UAGGGAAUCUUCGGCAAUGGGGGGAACCCUGACCGAGCAACGCCGCGUGAGUGAAGAAGGUUUUCGGAUCGUAAAGCUCUGUUGUUAAGGAAGAACGAGUGUGAGAAUGGAAAGUUCAUACUGUGACGGUACUUAACCAGAAAGGGACGGCUAACUACGUGCCAGCAGCCGCGGUAAUACGUAGGUCCCGAGCGUUGUCCGGAUUUAUUGGGCGUAAAGCGAGCGCAGGCGGUUAGAUAAGUCUGAAGUUAAAGGCAGUGGCUCAACCAUUGUAGGCUUUGGAAACUGUUGAACUUGAGUGCAGAAGGGGAGAGUGGAAUUCCAUGUGUAGCGGUGACAUGCGUAGAUAUAUGGAGGAACACCGGUGGCGAAAGCGGCUCUCUGGUCUGUAACUGACGCUGAGGCUCGAAAGCGUGGGGAGCGAACAGG
RNAcentral lists this ribosomal RNA (429 nucleotides) under Bacteroidota bacterium. RNAcentral's name for it is "Bacteroidetes bacterium partial 16S ribosomal RNA". It matches the Rfam family "Bacterial small subunit ribosomal RNA", at positions 355 to 776 of the family's 1533-position model. The record is from RNAcentral. Lineage: Bacteria; Pseudomonadati; Bacteroidota.